RNAcentral lists this long non-coding RNA (5918 nucleotides) under Mytilus galloprovincialis (Mediterranean mussel). Lineage: Eukaryota; Metazoa; Mollusca; Bivalvia; Mytilida; Mytilidae. The record is from RNAcentral.
GUUUUACAAGAUAACCAUGAAUAUUUCUUAAAAAAAUUAAGUGACAGUAUUUUUAAAGAGGUAACGAUCACACUUGUAGAACAAACAUUUUCAAAUGAAAAUAACUGUUCAUUAUAUGGAGUAUAUACACCCCGCAAACAGCGCAAACACGUACAACAGUUUAUCAUCAGCUGGUCAUUGUUUUUGUCCACAAACAUUAUGUAAUUGUAAUCAGUUGGAAAGGCCAAAUUAAUUAUGACAUGAUAAAGCAUCAGAAACCAAAAGUUCUGAUAAAAGAAUUUUUUAUAUAAAGGUAUAAGACGAGUGCCUGUGAAUACACAUAUCCAUUUUUGUGAGAAAAUACAAAACUGGCAGAAGGUUUGAAACGGGACACAAAUUAAACCUACAAUUGCUCCUCAGUGAAUAAACCAAAUAAAACAGCUAGCAAAUAACCCUAACCCUAACUCUAAACCAAAUAAAACAGUUAAACAAAGAAAGAAACAUAUUCAAGAUGGAAAGAAAUCUGGGGUUGAUAUUGCCUAAAUAUUCAAUAUUGUGUUGAUGAAAAAACCCAAUACAUUAAGGUGCUUGGUGGUGAAAAACCCAAUUUGAUAUUAACAUGAGGGGUGAAUUGGAAUUGAUAAUGCAAUUAAAAAACUUUAUCACCCAAUUAUAUAAGAAAAUGGUGGGUAAGCAUAAGCAUAAGCAUUGUGACAUAGGAAAUUUACGGGAAAGUGCACAAAUUUGAAAGUUGUCAAUAGAUACCAGUGGUUCAUUGAUUUAAAGGCACUCUGGUCUGUAACCGACACUUCAGCGAUAACAUAGCAUUAAAUGAACAGAGGUACAGGCAAACUUACUUAUCGACCAGCAUUAUGUAGAUUUAUAGGAAGAUGUGGUGUGAGUGCCAAUGAGACAACUCUCCAUCCAAUCCUCUCAAUAACAAUUUAAAAAAAAUUAAACCAUUAUAGGUCAAUGUACGGCCUUCAACACAGAGCCUUUGCUCACACCAAAUAACAAGCUAUAAAGGGCCCCAAAAUUACUAGUGUAAAACCAUUCAAACGGGAAAACCAACGGUCUAAUCUAUAUAAAAUAAAAAACGAGAAAUGCAUAUAAAUUAUAUAUAUAUAUUUUUUGAUUGCAUAACACGUGCACAUGUUACAUGUAUAAUGUUAAUGAAAAUAAACCUUAUUGCAUUUUGGGAAUCUGCAACACUUAGCUUCAGAAUCUCGGACAAUUAGAAAAUUCACUAAAAUAAUCAGUUUUCUACACUCUUUUUUCUCUUCUUGAAGAUAUUGAUUUGAUAAUUUGUAUAUAGUUUUAUCAUGACAAGUUACAAAUCAAGUUUGAGUUUUGUUCUGGUCUGAUGAUUUUGUGCAGAGUUAUGGUCCUUGGACUUAGAAAAUUCAUUCAAAUAAUCAGUUUUCCGCACUUUUUUUAAUCAUGCUUGAAGAUAUUGAUUUGAAAAUUGGUAUACUGUUUAUUUGUGACAAGUUACAGAUCAAGUUUGAAUUUUGUUGCAGUCUGAUGAUUUUGUGCUGAGUUAUGGUCCUUGGACUUAGAAAAUUCACUUAAAUAAUCAGUUUUCCACACCUUUUUUUGUCAUGCUUGAAGAUAUUGAUUUAAUAAUUGGUAUAUAGUUUUAUCAUUAGUUACAGAUCAAGUUCGAAUUUUGUUCGAGUCUGAUUGUCUGACUAUAGCUAAAAUUCAUGUUGCAUUCAUUAUGAAACAUGCAUGUGAUGUGGUUAAAUUUUUUAAAGACAAUUUCUAAUUCACACCAUGUGACAUGCCAUUUAUCAUGAAACUUUAGAGAUUAUAAAGUUUACGCGUGUUGGAUAUGGUAGGAUAUAGCUUUCAUAUAAGUAGCUAGUCCUCAACUGCUUAAGUGAGGGAUUAAGUACCAGUUUUAAUUUUUAUACGCCCGUCAAAAUUUUGACGGGACGUAUUAUGGUAUACAAAUGUCCGGUGUCCGUCUGUCUGUCUGUCCGGCGAAAACAUGUCGCCGUAACUUGAGAACAACUUAUCCAAAUUUCAUGAAACUUAAUACAGUUGUUUCGUAUAAUGGUCAAAUGAUCUGUAUACUUUUUGGUAAAAAUAAGAUUUAACUUUGAGUUGCGGCCACUUUGUAACUAAACAGAGGGUGUUUUUUUUCACAUGUCACACGCUAUCUCAAAAAACGAUUCUUGAUUAUUGCUUAAAACUUUUCACACUUCUUAUUAUAUUAAUCUAAAGAUCUGUAUACGUUGGGAUGAUUCAAAUUUCAUUUUUGGGUUAUUGAGUAUUUUGUAAAAAAGGGGGAGAGUUUUUUUACAUGUUGCGCUGUAUCUCAAAAACAAUAUAUGAUUAUUGCUUAAAACUUUACACACUGCUUUGUUAUAUUAAUCUAAAGAUCUGUAUACUUUUUGACGCCCGUCAAAAUUUUGACGGGACAUAUUAUGGUAUACAAAUGUCCUGUGUCAGUCCGUCUGUCUGUCCGGCGUAAAACUUUACACACUGCUUUGUUGUAUUAAUCUAAAGAUCUGUAUACUUUUUGGUUUGAUUCAAAAUUUUAUUUUAGUGAUAUUAGUUUUUUGUAAAAUAACAGGGUGGUGGGUGGGGGGGAGGGUUCACAUGUCCCGCCAUGUCUCAAAAACAAUAAAUGGUUAUUGCUUAAAACUUUCUCAGAAACUAUUGAUGAUUAUUGCAUAAAACUUCCACACAAGACGUCGGGCGUAUCAUGCGGUCAUGGCACAGCUGUUUAUUAAAUUUUUGAAUCCACAAUUUACAUUGUUUCCUAUUUGGGGUAGUAUAUAUGUGUCUUAUCUGUCCAAUACCCCAAAAACUGUUUUCAUGAUAAACAUGAACAAUUGUCAAAAUAUAUUUGUAACUGUUAAACCUCUAAUGAUCAUGAUACUGGUGAAGAAAACAAUCAAGAGAAAACAUUUUUAAUAAUUAUCUUUAUCUCAUUUCAGAUUCAUGAUGACUUAAUGGACGUCCUAUCAGACAACUAAGAAAACAACUAUAUAAAUUAUGUAAUCUGUACAUUUUUCCAUGUGUAACUGUAUUUGAAAUAAAGGAAGAUACAUGUACAUGUAUUGCAUCAGUUAAGAGAUCAUCUAGACUAGAAAACUACAAGCAAGAAUUUCAAAAAAGGGGUCCAUCAAGGAAUGGACCAAAUUCAUGACUCUGUAGCAUGGUAUCAGAAAAAGGUAUAUAAUAUAAAAAUAAGAAGAUGUGGUUUGAUUGCCAAUUAGACAACUCUCCACUAGAGACUUGGAUGAAUUAGAAGUAAACAUCUGUAGGUCUACUAUAGUCUUAAACAAUAAGCAAAACCCAUACUGCAUAGUAACCUAUAAAAAUCCUUAAAAUGGCAAAUGUAAAUCAAUUCAAGCAUAAAAACUAACGGCCUGAUUUAUGUUCAAAACAAUAAGCAAAAGACUUGACAUGGUUAGACCAAUGUAUGGUUUGGUUGUGGUUCAAAUACAGGUAUUAUUCCUGUUUUAUUUUCUAUAUAAUGCAGUGAAUCAUCUAUGCACUAGUCACAUGACAUUUGCCCACUUUCUCCUUAAAUGUCCCAAAAAAAUUUAAAAUUGAGUUUACUUCAUACUUCAGAAGAAAUUGUUAUAAGAAUAGAAAUUUACCUGGAAUUCUCAAAGUCCAACUGAAUCACUGCAAUGGUCAUACAUACAUGCAUGUAGUUUGUUCUGAUUCACUGAUCAUGCUAAUUCAAUAUACACAUUCUUGCAUUUUUUAAAACAUUAUAUUAAAUACAAAAUGACCACUAUAGAUGCAUUAACACUCAAACUUAAAGAAAGCAUGGCCAACAUAAUGUAGGAAAUAGAAUAAAAACUACAUCCUUUUAAUCAUUACAAAUAUCCUGUCAAACUAACUACAGCAAAAGAAGAGGUUUUAUUCCAGAUAUUUGAGUUAUUGGGAACAGUAGUGCAACAAAUACUGUGGAUUCAUUUAUGUAAACACGGGAGGUGGGUACAAAUUUUUAUCGGCUGAGGAAAAAUUGUGUAUUCAUGGAUAUUUGAUUUUUGUGGAUCUUCCAAAGUCUGCAAACAACAUGAACAAAUCUAUUAUUGGUCCUUGUGCAUGCUCUCUGAUUGAGACCAAUUAAGAAAAUUGAUGCCUUGUUGGACAUUUAAAUUCCUGGUUGACCUUUGCCCGGAAAAUCAACAAAAAUCAAAAAAUAUUAAAGGAUAUUCUAGCUUGGAAUUUGUUUUGCAGCCGAGCUACAUAUUGAUUGAAAAAGAACACAGCAUAGACAUUUUUAUCCUAAAUAAUAGUAAAACAAGAUUGCCUUAUAACUCAAGUAAAUUAAAUGACAAUUACAUUGAGUUUAGAUGUAGUACACAUGUACAGUAAUUGUUAUUUCAUGUAAUUUACUGUUUUAAUUUUAGAUUGGUCUUCAUGAUAAACAAUUGUGGGAACAGAGUGUAGAUCGUAAAGUGUUAAGGGUAAGUAUGAUAUACAAAUGUAUUAUACAUGUAGGAGAGUUUGACUACCAAGGUGUCUCAAGUUUGUGAAUUAAUCUGACAUUUAGACAAAAGAAAUGAUCAUUGUUUAUGGAAAGUCAACUUUUUAUGACCCUGCCAUGACUGAGGGAGCAUUCAUUAUACACGAGUUAUUACCACAAAACACUUAAGUCAACCAAAUGUUAUGAAACUUAUACACAAUGUUUAUUAGUUAUUACCACAAAACACAUAUCAAGUUGGACUUUUAGAGGCAACACUUUUGUUGAUCUAGUGCCCCCUUGGUUAAUUAAAAUAAUGCAGAAUUUGCUUAAUAUUUACAAGUGGGGGCAUCUGUGUCUCAUGAACACAUAUUCUUCAUUUAUGUGGUAAUACAUUUGUUACAGUGGCUAGUCUUGGAGAUUCUGUGAAUAUAGGUCUUAAAUGUCAAUGGCAGAGGGUUGUGUACUUUUUCUUGUAUAGUGACUAUUUUUACAAAGCCCCAGGACAGUUGUAUUGACAAUUUUAAUGUCAUAUAAUGUGAAAAUUGAACCUGUUAGGGUAUAUUUAUUACAUGUAGUUACUUUUCAUGUCAGCUCUGUAUAUCAAUGAACCAGUUCUUGUACAAUUUAAAUAAAAUAACACAUUUCAAAAUACGAUUUUAGAUCUAUCACAUUAAAUGUAAAAUUGAAACAUGCUUUAUCUGUGAAUUGUCAGUAAAUAAGCCAGGAGAUAGAUGAAUUUAUACACUUGUACCUUUCAUUAUCUGUCAUGUCUGUCCGAAUAUAAAUAUAGAAAUUUCCUGUUCAAACCAGAAGAUUAAAAAAAGGAAAUAACUUCAAAUGUUGUCAUGGUUGUUAUGACUUUUUCUUUGGGUUAAUUUUGUUUAUAAAAAAAAAAUUAUGAAAUACUGUAAAUUCAGAAAUUAUUGCGAUGUUUUUAAUAUUGAGAAAAAUGCAACAGGGUUAUAAUCGCAAUAAUUUAAACUCGCAUUUUGAAAUUUUUUAUAUGAAUUGAACAGGAUUUUUCUCAAUAUUGCAAUAAUUAAAAUCCCAUUUUAGUCUAAAAUGGCAAAAUCGCAAUAAUAAUUGCACGCAAUAAUUUCUGAAUUUACAGUAAUGGAUUCACCUGUGUAUUUACAUGUACCUCUAAUCAGUUGCCUUAUGAAAUUAUUUCAGCAUACCUGUUAGAAACAUAUCUUUCUUCAUUACAUGUGCAUAUACAUUUUGAAAAAAAAAUAGACCCAAGAAGAAAUUCUGUAUAGGGAAAACCUGUGUUGUCUCUUAUUAGCCUAAAGACAAAAUACAUCACGGAGAAACAUUGCUAUUCUAUGUCUGACUUUCAAAAAGACAACAGCAACAAGAACGAAUAUUACAGACCAUUUUCUUACAGUCGUCACAUGAUUUUUAUUAUAUGUGUUUUUUUCCUUCUCAGGGUAUCAGAAAUGCUCCAAGAAGAUCAGUAAGAGCCAAAACUGAGUUCAUAGAUGUGGAUUUAAUCAGAGGU